GACGAACCGUCCAAACGUUAUUCGGAAUCACUGGGCUUACAGAGUUCGUAGGCGGUCUGGAAAGUUGGGUGUGUAAUCCCUCGGCCUAACCGAGGAACUGCGCUUGAAACUACCAGACUCGAGGGAGAUAGAGGAAAGCGGAACUGAUGGUGGAGCGGUGAAAUGCGUUGAUAUCAUCAGGAACACCAGUGGCGAAGGCGACUUCCUGGCCUGUUCUUGACGCUGAGGCGCGAAAGCUAGGGUAGCAAACGGG
This 253-nucleotide ribosomal RNA is filed under the name uncultured bacterium. RNAcentral describes it as "partial 16S ribosomal RNA". It matches the Rfam family "Bacterial small subunit ribosomal RNA", at positions 524 to 776 of the family's 1533-position model. The record is from RNAcentral.